Long non-coding RNA from Meriones unguiculatus (Mongolian gerbil), 585 nucleotides. RefSeq lists it as uncharacterized. The record is from RefSeq and is a predicted model, not a curated record. The transcript has 4 exons. Lineage: Eukaryota; Metazoa; Chordata; Mammalia; Rodentia; Muridae.
CUGGAGGUUGAAGGAGACUGUUGACUGACCAUCUGCUGAGGCCUAGCUCUUGUCUGUGCACAGACCAGAUGCAUUAUGUCAUUACCCUUCCGAGAAGCCUACGGCCUGCUGCUGAGAGACUUGGAGAUGACCUGCUGGCCUGGAGUCACACUGUUAGAACCCUGAAGCCUGUAGAUGGAACAGAGGUCACCAGCAAGCCGAGAACCAGGGUGGUCCAGACCUUCUGAUACCCCCAGAGGCCUCAUCCAGGCUUAAGGGAGAGCUGGAUUUCAGGCUGUUCCACUUUGGGUCGAGGGACCAUGGCAACAGCCUGGGGAAGACGCAGGAAGUAGGGCCCACAACAAGUCUGUGGCUCUGGCAAUUGGCCACCUUUUUCUGUGGUUGUAACUGUAAAUAGUGUCUCCCAGCACUAAAAGUGUUUAACAAGCAGCUGUGUGUGACCCACACUGUAAAUGGACCUUUUAAUAAUAAAUAAGCACUUAUUUAACAGGUAAUGACAGUUUUAGUGCCCCCAGAAACUUCUUUAGCCUGGCAUCUUCUGCUCAGAUGUUUUGUCUAUUUUUUAAAUUUGCUUUAUCUCAUUGA